Molecule: ribosomal RNA, 273 nt
Filed under: uncultured bacterium
Lineage: Bacteria
Description: partial 16S ribosomal RNA
Rfam family: Bacterial small subunit ribosomal RNA
Source: RNAcentral
UCCCUACGGGACGCAGCAGUGAGGAAUAUUGGUCAAUGGCCGGAAGGCUGAACCAGCCAAGCCGCGUGAAGGACGAAGGUGCCAAGCAUUGUAAACUUCUUUUGUCAAGGGACAAAAUCAGGCUCGAGAGCCUGACCGAGGGUACUUGAAGAAAAAGCAUCGGCUAACUCCGUGCCAGCAGCCGCGGUAAUACGGAGGAUGCGAGCGUUAUCCGGAUUUAUUGGGUUUAAAGGGUGCGUAGGCGGACUGUAAGUCCACCGGUAAAACCCCGGG